Molecule: ribosomal RNA, 406 nt
Filed under: uncultured bacterium
Lineage: Bacteria
Description: partial 16S ribosomal RNA
Rfam family: Bacterial small subunit ribosomal RNA
Source: RNAcentral
GUUGAACGCUGGCGGCAUGCCUAACACAUGCAAGUCGAACGAGUGGCGGACGGGCGAGUAAUUGCUGGGAAACUGGGUGAUCGAGGGGGAUAACUGCUGGAAACGGUAGCUACUACUGCAUAACAUCGGAUGUGCCCUGGUGGGCUUAGCUAGUAGGUGGGGUAACGGCUCACCUAGGCGACGAUCCCUAGCUGGUCUGAGAGGAUGACCAGCCACACUGGGACUGAGACACGGUCCAGACUCCUACGGGAGGCAGCAGUGGGGAAUAUUGCACAAUGGGCGAAAGCCUGAUGCAGCCAUGCCGCGUGUAUGAAGAAGGUCUUCGGGUUGUAAAGUACUUUCAGCGGGGAGGCGUUACCUGCCGAAGAAGCACCGGCUAACUCCGUGCCAGCAGCCGCGGUAAUUC